GCGUUCACUGUAUUAAAUACUUGUUUAUAGAACAUGGCAGAUUACAUGAUCAGAGCUGCUGUAGAAGACGAUUGUGAACAAAUCUACAAUAACACGAAGGAUCUGGCCAUAUUUCUCAACCCAGCAUAUCCGUCGAAAUUAACCUCUGACACUUUCAGAGAAGAUGGUUUUGGUACAAAUCCUUUAUUUCGAUGUCAUGUGGCUGAGAUAGUUGAUUCGGGGGAGAUAAUUGGCCAUACCUUGUUUUUUCCGUCCUAUAGUUCAGUAACAGGCAAGUGUAUGUAUAUGGAAGAUUUAUAUGUUUCUGAGCAUGCGCGAGGUAGAGGUAUUGGAACAGCUCUCUUCCAACGAUUAGCUCAGUUAAGUUUGAAGGAGGGAUGUCAGAAUCUACUAUGGCAAACUUUAGACUCGAAUAAAACAGGUAUCAAAUUUUAUAAGCGUCACGGUGCUGUUAAUUCCACGGAGACAGAAAACAGCCAUAGUUUUAGGUUGGACCUCGAUCAAAUGAAGAAAUUGGCAGAGACAUAAUAAUGAAAGCAUUUUAAUUAAAGAACUACUUCUAGUAGAUUAUAUUUUCGUAAUACAUGUAAUAUGAAUAAAUGUUUCGAUUAUAAUAUGACCCCUACGCGCACGCGAAUUAUUGAAAUGAAAUUGAACCAUAUCUUAGUCCGGAAAUGACCUAGUUUGUGUCGAGUACCCUCUCUCUCCCUCUCUCUCUCUCUCUCUCUCUCUCUCUCUCUCUCUCAUAUUUUACGGUCAUCUUCAACAUGUCUGGGCUAUUACAUGAUCGAUCACCUGCUUUUAUUUAUAGUUAAAUCCCGGUCGAAUUGCUAGUACAUAUAUCGCUAUUACUCUAAUGCUUUUUCAUAUUUUACAAAGUUGGGAGGUGAUUGUCUUCAGGGGUGUGUGUGUGGGGGGGGGAUAUCUCAACUACUUACUAUGCUACAAAUAGAUAGGGUAAGGGCAAAGAUAAGGGGGCGAGACACCCUGCGUUGCUACCAACCUGAUUUAAUUUGCUCAGCUACAUUUAUAGAAUGACCCCAUUAAACUUUCAUUAUGACUUAAAAUAUAAGAAGAGAACUAGAACUACUAUGCAGUAAUGACGAGUUUCACCGGUGCCAAAUUACCCUUGAACUGACGUCAAACCCCAUACCAAUGGAGCCAUGGAACAGAUUUCCACACGCGCUUUGCACUUAUGUUAUAAAAUAACAUAGAUUUUUCGCAUUCGGUGCCCCGAAGUUAUGGAAUUCAAUAUCAAACGAAACCAAAAGCGCAAAUCCUAUUAAAGGUUUUAAAAAGUAAUCAAAUAUACAACUGAUUGAAUACGGUUCUAGCGGUGUUUGUGUCAGACUUUUACCAUGUGCACUAAAUAAUGUUCUCCGUUUUUUGUUUAUGUCUUUUUGUAAGGAUUAAUGUGUUGUGAUUGUUGUAAUUUUAUAUUAGUUGUACUUAUGUAAAGCGCCCGAGAGCAGCUCGCUGAGUUGAAUUGUUGGCGCUAUAUAAAUCAAUUAUUAUUAUUAUUAAUAUUAUUAUUAAAUAAACUGCAAUCAACAAAGACUCGACACAGUGACACCACAUCCAUUAUCAACAAAAUAUUUAAAUUUGAUUAACACUUUGCGUUUCCUUUGAAUGAAAGAAAAAAAUGAUUAAAACUUAAACACAAUUAACUCUUUAUAAAUCCUUAAUACAAAGCGAAAAAUCAUAAAAAGCGAUCUGGAAGAUAUUAGAAACA
Molecule: long non-coding RNA, 1732 nt
Organism: Patella vulgata (common limpet)
Lineage: Eukaryota; Metazoa; Mollusca; Gastropoda; Patellidae
Exons: 5
Source: RefSeq, a predicted model, not a curated record